AAAUCUGUACAUAUUACUCAAGCUGAGGCUGCACCAGUGCAGAGUAGAGAGGGAAAAUAAUUUCCCUCAACCAGCUGGCAAUGCUGGGCUUAAUGUACCCCAGGAUACAAUUGUCCAUUUGGCUGCCAGGGCACAUUCUUCACUCAUAUUCAACUUGCCAUCAACUUGCUCUCCACCUUCUUGUCCCCUAGUCAGAACAUUUAUCCAUGGUUGCAAUGUCCCAGGUGCAAUAUCCAGCACUUGCUCUUGUAAAACUUCACGUUGGUGAUUUCCCAUACCUCAGAUUGGUCAAGAUCUCUUUCAAAGCCUCCAUACCCUCAAGGGAGGUCAACAGCUGGUCCUUAUUUAGUAUCUUCCACAAACUGAGAAUGUUGAAGAGAAGUGCCCCUAAAAUGGAGCCCUGGGGGCCAUUAGGUUGAUGGGUAGACAGAAGUCCAGGCAUAGAUGUUCAGCUGCAGCUGAGAACUUCUACCACACUGGCUGUGUUUGCUCUGUAUAUCAUUUGAUAUGAUUUCGGUGGAACACCAUAUUCUAAAGUAACACAAUCAGAUUUUUUCCAACCACAGUUAAAACAGGAUUUUAUUAUCAAAUUAUAUCUUCUUAUAGGAAGAACAUAGGACUUUUGCAGUCAUUUAGGGCUACAGUUCAAUAAAGAACUUAAGUCCAUGCAAAAAACAGUCUCUAUUCAACAAAGCAUGUGAGCAUAUAUGUAAAGAUUUACAUUAAUCCUUAAUGUAUACACUUAGAUAUUUUUAUGCACAUGGAUGAUUCCCAGAGCACUUUUUGCAAGACUGAGGCCUUAACUUUGAAUGUUGUUAUAAUACAAAUAUGAGCAACUGUUAUGAAAGUUCACUAGAGUACAGAAUUUUGUCAAAAACAUGACAGGUCAUUGGCUCAGCGUAGCAAACAUGCAGCUUAUUGAUCUUGGUGUGCACAAGAUCAGGCGAGUCCCCCUCUUGUCAAGAGCCUAGCUGCGGUGUCUCCUACACUCUGUGCUGUUCCUUAGAGUCAGCACACCAGGUUCCCCAAGUGUGAUUACAUCUAAGGUUGGAUGCCUAGGGAACUUCUAUGUAGUGCAGCUACACUCCACCGGGAAAGCUUCUUCAACGCUGUACAUUUUCUUUAAAAUGUGAAUACCAGUUCAAUUUCCAAGUCACCUCAGGUAAUUAUUCCACACAACGUCCACCUGGACAUAGAGCCAUUGACCACCACUCACUGGUUGCGACCUUCAAGCCAAUUCUUUAUCCACUGAAUGGUCCACCCUUCAAAUCCAGCUCUCUCCAAUUUUGAGAUCAGGAUGUCAUAUAGGACCAUGUCAAAGGCCUUACUAAGGUAGAAAAGUCCUUGCUUUCAUUUAUGUUGGACUGAUUUUUUUUUUUUUUUCAUUAUUUUUACACAGCAUGUGAUUCACUGCUACAGAUGCACUGGAAAUGACUCUUCAAAAUAGAAAUGAAUUAAUUAAUUAAGUCUUCCAUUUAUAGUCUCUCUACAUCUGUCAUGGCUACAAAGGCAUGGAGCUCCUUCUUAGUUUCCCUAGAAGAUUUUCAUAACGGAUUUUCCCAAAACUUUCUGAAGUCCAAACAGUAUAGGUUAACUGCAUCCUUAUCCAUAUGUUCUUCAUCCCUACAAAGCAAAGAAGAUAGGUAGAGAUUCUGCUAAGACUGUAAUGAAGCCUGCAAUGCAAAUUUGUUAUUUUUUCAGGACUUUUUUUUUCUUAUUUUUUUUUCAGAAAAGUAAAUACUUGUUUGUUUCAGAAAAGUAAAUGUUCAUCCAAACCAUGGAUGAAUUUCAGUUUGAACUAACACUUUAACCAUGAGAUUCUAAGCAUUUGGAAUCUCAUUUUCCAUAGUUCUAAAAUAGCCUAUAGCGAGGUGGAGGUCAGGUUCUCGUCCCAAGGACCAAGUGAUAAGAUGAGGGGAACCAGCCUCAAGUUGUGCCAGGGGAGGUUUAAGUUGGAUAUUAGGAGAAAUUUCUGUACUGAAAGGGUUGUAUGGCUUUGGAAUAAGCUUCCCAGGGAAUUGGUUGAAUCACCAUCCCUGGAAGUCUUCAAGAAGUGUGUAGAUUUAGAACUUAGUAGCAUGGUUUAGUGGUGGUCUUUAGUACUAAGUUAAAGGUUGCACUAGAUGAUCUUAGAGGUCUUUUCCAACCUGAAUGAUUCUAUGCUUCUGUGAUUCUACAUAUUUUUACUGAAUAGUGCUUUGAGUUCAUCUAGAAUGAUGAAUUGUAUCCUCAGAUCUGGGAUUGAGGUAAAAAAAAUUAUAAAUCUUCAAAAUUUUAUUUUUUGUUUUCCUCUCCAUAAUUCAGAAAAUCACUGAAUGGCUUUUACUCAGCUUUUUCAAAAAGCCAAGGGAUAUUUUGGACAUCAGGACAUUCAGUUUUUAUUUCAGGUGCAAGCAUAAAAAACCAUACACAGCAAAAAAUAAAAUAGAGGUGGGAAAAAGUUGUGGAGCACACAUGGAGACGAAAAUGAGGGGUAAGCAGAAAUACUACUGUUAAUGGAAAAUGUUACUGAAGAGAACAGAUAAGGAAAUAGGUGAAAGGAAGACAUAAAGUUUCAAGGAAAACAGACUCAUAAGGAAAUUGUUAGAUUUAUAGACUACUGAAUGUUAGUCCUUUUUUGCCUUGUAGUUUUGGAACUGGAGGGUUGUUAAAGCAUUUGGGUCCAAUUUUGUAAAUGUCAAUAAAAAAGUAGAAAAAUAAAAUGCUGUCUGAACUUUUGAAAGCUUCUUUGAAUUAAUCCUCAAGCUGAUGGAGAUGUUAAGCAAAUAGAAUAACAUGCAAAUAGUAUUACAAUGUUUGUAAAAUUAUAUUCUCUGUCAGUUGCAAUGAUUAGCUUUUCUACCAUGAAUUCAUACAUUACUUAAAAUUCCUUUGCAUUGAUGUACCAUAGCAUAUUACUGGUUUGUAGAUGAGUAUUAUUUGUCAGGGGAAAAUACGGUGUGACGGCAAUGAUUUUCCUAUUUAGUGUACUCACUCAGAUAGUAAUGGGACACACAACCAUUGCCCUAUAAUUAUUGUUGAUUGCAGAAGUUGAUACUCUGUGAUGAUACCCAAGUUAAUUAAUUUCAGUUGGCCAGCUACUGUCUAGAAAAGGCCUUGGGCUGAGGUUGUUGUUUAAUGAAAAUCAUGUUUCUAAUAAAAGAGGAAAAGAUGAGGAUGGAUGCUAGAUUUCUAUGGAAUUAGAAUUUAACUCUUUGUCUGUGAACUAACUGAAAGAUUGACAAAAUAUGUGAGUUUUGGUUUUCUUUCUAAAACUGAAAUCUUUCUCAGUCCUUUGUACUUCUCAUAACUUGUGCUAACUGGUAUGAAAUAGUUUUGAAUUAGGAGGCUUUUUCUAAGUUGUGGACUGGUUUCAUUAUUUCCUACUGUAAGUUAUAAGCUACAAGCUACUCUUUGGUUAUACACUUUGAUUGCUUCUGUAUGAGACUCACUAUCUACUCACUUUUUAAUUAAUCUUAAAACUUGAUCUUAAGCAUCACUGCUCAUUUCUACAAUAACAUUCAUCAACCUAACAAAAUACUAAAUUCAUGGGAGAAUUUUAUUGAUUUAAUAAUACAUGCUAACUCUGCAGGAAAUUUGCCUAUGAAGAAAAAAAUAUUGAAUGUAUUUAGGUUUGCCUUCUGUCACAGAGAAAAGAAGUCAAGAAUCUUAUUUUCUGUCAGUCCCCCUUUCUUCUUUCUGUGAGUGUCCAUUCUGAUGAUCUCAGUCACAUCUAGGAAGAUGCCUAUGAAGCUAUUGCUGCUACUGUGUGGUGAACAGAUUUUGACAGUAAAAAUUUAACUUCUUAAGGACUUUAAUAUUAAUGUAGAAAAUGAAUCUUCAAGUAAGGAUUUCUGGAAGUGAAUAUGUGGUAUUUUAGAUCUUGUGUAACUCCUGUUGUUUUGUAAAUACUUCCAGUAGACUCCAUGUUGUAUUCAGUAUUUCUGGUUAGAGUUUCUUCAGGAUUCAUUAUAUCCUCUUCAAUAUUGUUAAUAAAACUAUUUUUAAGAGUUACAGAAAUCCUCAACAAGAUUAGUUAGUGGUACCAGAUAAUCUUAUUAGGUGGCACAAUAUUAUUGUAGAGAUGUAACAGUAGAAAAGUAAGAUUAAAACAAAGUGGUAGAAGUAAAGAGAAAUCCUCUUUUGUAAGCCACAGAUAAUGCAAACAAACAUGUUUUGUUAUUAUCCUGAACCAAUAACUCACAAAAAUGUAAACCAUCCUAUGGUAGGGAUUUUUCUUUUUGUUGAAACAUUUUAAAUGUGAUGAUUUUUUUUCCUCAUUUUUACUAUGAGUAAUAUUCAUUCUCACAGAAUAUUUGGCACACUAAAUUAUCAAGUGAAACAGAAGUUUUAGAAUUUUGCUUUUGUUUUCCUCUCAGUUCCAAAUUAUUUUGAGAUCCUAAUUAAUUAUCUUUGUUUCUCUUACAUUGCUACUAAUUGUAUUUAAACUGUAAAUCUUUGGAACUGUCUAGGCGGUGUUUAGCAAUGCAUGAACGUCAUAAUAUACUGCCUCUCUUAAAGUCUAUAUCAAAUUUCCCAGUAUCAUUGGCAGAGAUCUUGAUCUAGGCUUAUAUUAUCAAUGUAGAAAAGUGGUGGGUAUGUUGAACUUUUAGUCUUUUUUUUUUGUCAGAUCUGUAUAAGUUUCUCUAAAGUGGCACUACGAAUCUUUAUUCCUUCUGUUCAAAAAUCUGCAUGACCGACAGUGGAAACAUAAAAAGUGAUAAAUUUCUUUUGCUGAUAAGGGUGAAAUUUAGAAAGCUCUUCCUGUCUCAGCUUUGUAUGACACAAAAAUUCAAAAUGUUAGAUAUCAAAGGAAACAGUCGCACACUUUGAUAUCUGAUCUCAGUCUGUAGUUAAUUCAGUAGUUAAUUUAGAGCAAGUUCAAUAUGAACUAAAUCAGUUGCUGCUGCUGUAGUGAAUGAGCCCUCCCACUCUGAUUAUCAAAGGCAAGAUUGUUGGGAGAGUCUUCAAUCCUCCUUCCCUGCACAGUGACAGAGUGGUGAUGCUUUUACUUUUAGUCUUUUUAUUAUCUUGGAGUGGAAGGGAACAUGAAGUGAGGCCAUGAAAAUGUAAUGUGACCCAUCACAUGUGCCUACAAGAUUAUGUCAUUCUUCAGAGGCAGAAUCUUUAAGGAUCCCUAGGAAGGUCUCUGGAAUUUAUAGAUUUUUCUCUGUGAUACUCAAGAGUUAUGUUACCAGGCUCAAAAGCUUAAAUCUCCCUCUAAACUGAGGCUAUGUUUUUGUAUUCAAGUACUUUUCCUCUCAUAAGUGAUUUUUCUGAAAUUUAAAGAUUCACACAGAUUGUCGCAGACAAGGUGCUGCCUUGACCACUGCCACAUACAACACUGCCAGUACUCACAUAAAACACAGCAUCACAGAAUCACAGAAUGGCCAAGGUUGGAAAGGACCUCUGAAGAUCAUCUUGUCCUACACCCCUGCCAAGCAGGAUCACCUAGAGCACAUUCCGCAGAAUUGCAUCCAGGUUUUAAUUAGCAUGAUGGAAAACUCAAUUACUCCUGAAAUUACAUCAUUGUAAUUUGUAACCCAAAAGAAUGGAAUGUAACGCUUCUUCAUUUCCACUUUCAUUGAAAACGUGGCUUUAACAUUCAAAUCUGAAAGCUCUGGGGACAGACAGGAGCUGUUGUACUGGAUUUGGCUGGGAUGGAGUUAACUUUCCCCAAAGCAGCUUCUAGUGUUGUGCUGUGCUCUUGUAGCUAGAGCAGCACUGAUAUCACACUAAGGUUUUGUCUAUUGCUAAGCAGUGCUGGCACAGCAUAAAGACUCUUUCCAACCUCUCCCACCCUGGAAAAAAGCCAGCAGGCUGGGCUGGGUGUCGGCAAGAGGUGGGAAGGAGGCAUCAUCGGGGCAGCUGGCCUAAACCUACCAAAGGGAUAUUCCAUAGCAUAUGACGUCACAUUCAGCAAUAAAAGCUGGGAAAGAGGAAGGGGGGAGGGAUGUGUGUGUGUGUGUGUGGGAGGCAGUUCUCUUUAUGAAAAUAACUGUCCUCCUGAGCAGCUGAUGCAUGUUGACGCUCUGCUUCCUAAGAUGUGGCUGAACAUCUGUUACUUAUGGGAAUUUAUGGGAAUAUGGGAAAUAGAGAACAAUUGUUUUCUCCCUUUUCUUCCAUGCUGCCUUUCCUUGAUUUUCUCUUUUCCUUUAAUUAAACUGUCCUUACCUCAAACUGUGAGCCUUUUUUCAUUAUAUUUUCUUUCUCUGUUCUUUUGAGGAGUGGGAGUGACAGAGCGGUGUUAUGGAGUUUAGCUAGCCAUCAUUGUGAAACCACCACAGCUGGUUUGCAUCAAUCCAUGUUUGUAGUCAGAACUUGGAUGCCCAUAUCAAAAUUCUCAGUGUUUUUCUUGAAUGGCUUUCACAGAUCAUUUAGGUUGAUAUUUAAUAUUAUUUCUGCUUACUUGUUGUUUAGUUUCUUGGUGGCUUUGUGUUUGUUGUGAUAGUUUUCUUCACAGUAGUUGAUAUGGUGCUGUGUUUUGGAUUUAGGAUGAGAGCAAAGUUGAUAACACACCAGUGUUUUAGUUGUUGCUGAGCACUGCUUACACUAAGCUAAGGACUUUUAAGCUUCUUAUACUGCCCUGCCAGCAAGGAGGUUUGGGGCAGACAAGAAGCAGGGAGGGGACACAGCCAGGACAGCCAAUCCAAACUGGCCAAGGGGAUAUUCUAUACCAUAUAAUGUCAUGCUGAACAGUAAAACUGGAGGGGACUGGGGGAGUGGGCCUGCUGUUGCUCAGGGACUGGCUGGGCAUCAGUCACCUGGUGGUGCUGAGCAAUUGUG
Long non-coding RNA from Cygnus olor (mute swan), 6765 nucleotides. RefSeq lists it as uncharacterized. The record is from RefSeq and is a predicted model, not a curated record. The transcript has 3 exons. Lineage: Eukaryota; Metazoa; Chordata; Aves; Anseriformes; Anatidae.